RNAcentral lists this ribosomal RNA (537 nucleotides) under Triticum aestivum (bread wheat). Its description in RNAcentral is "partial small subunit ribosomal RNA". The record is from RNAcentral. Lineage: Eukaryota; Viridiplantae; Streptophyta; Magnoliopsida; Poales; Poaceae.
AUGGACAAAAAGACAACAGCUCGGCCAAGAAAUGUGACUUGAUCAACGGCAUGGGUGCCUCCGCCUGGGGGAUAUGUGAAGAUAAACACGGACGCGGCUGUUGCGACAGAACGCUCUUGUGGUGUGGUUGCUGCUGUGUGUCGCGACGAGGAGGGAAAUUUCCUGGGAGCAUCUGCUUGCAAGGUAAAAUUCAUAACAGAAGCGGCCACUUUGGAAGCUAUGGCAUUUCGGAAGGGUCAAGCACUGGCACAAGACUUAUACAUCAACCGGAUUCAUAUUGCAUCGGAUUGCAAGACGGUGGUCACAGAUAUCCUUGAGAAGAACUCCAGUUCGGAGUAUGGGGCUAUUAUCCAAGAGAUUUUUUAUCGUUCUAGUCUGUUUAAUUCUUGUAAUAUAGCUCAUGAGUUUAGGAGCUCGAAUUUCGAGGCUCACAAUCUCACUAGGCAUGCUUUACAACUCGGCUUUGGACGCCAUGUUUGGUUGGGCCAACCCGGGGAUCUGGUUUUUUUACCUGUAAACAUUUUGGUUUCUGAAUAA